GGGGAUUUAGCUCAGUGGGAGAGCACUUGCCUAGCAAGCGCAAGGCCCUGGGUUCAGUCCCCA
Molecule: transfer RNA, 63 nt
Filed under: Rattus norvegicus (Norway rat)
Lineage: Eukaryota; Metazoa; Chordata; Mammalia; Rodentia; Muridae
Rfam family: tRNA
About the family: Transfer RNA (tRNA) molecules are approximately 80 nucleotides in length. Their secondary structure includes four short double-helical elements and three loops (D, anti-codon, and T loops).
Source: Rfam by way of RNAcentral